RNAcentral lists this ribosomal RNA (253 nucleotides) under uncultured bacterium. RNAcentral's name for it is "partial 16S ribosomal RNA". It matches the Rfam family "Bacterial small subunit ribosomal RNA", at positions 524 to 776 of the family's 1533-position model. The record is from RNAcentral.
UACAGAGGUCCCAAGCGUUGUUCGGAUUCAUUGGGCGUAAAGGGUGCGUAGGCGGCGCGGUAAGUCGGGUGUGAAAUCUCGGAGCUUAACUCCGAAACUGCAUUCGAUACUGCCGUGCUUGAGGACUGGAGAGGAGACUGGAAUUUACGGUGUAGCGGUGAAAUGCGUAGAUAUCGUAAGGAAGACCAGUGGCGAAGGCGGGUCUCUGGACAGUUCCUGACGCUGAGGCACGCAGGCCAGGGGAGCAAACGGG